AAGUGUUUUUGUAUUUUAUUUUUAUAUCCAUAUUAUAAAUUAACCUAACUUAAGAUGAUAAAUAAAUAAAGAGAAUAAUAAUAAUAAUAAUAAGCCCGCAGGGCAGCUUGUGGCGAGCUGUUGGGGAGUAACGACCCCACGGACCCGAGUGCUCCAGAGAGUCGGUCAGGUGGAACCCCAAGGGGACCCGCAGGACUCUCGGCUCUGGCUUGCCUUCAUUGGCCGUCCAGAGAGGAGUCGUUAGAGCUAUAUGCUCCAGGGGUGGAAGUGAAAUUUGCGUAAGCGCGAGUUGGCACAGUGGCUGUUUACAGCCACUGGGUAGAAAGCGGUGUACACCUCUCGACACCCCUGAGCCGCUCACACCGAUGUUGCGCCUGGUCGUCUUUACGACGACAGUUUCAGGGGCCCAUCUAGUCAGCGGCGAGUCACCACCUGCCUCGAUAACGUGU
This is a long non-coding RNA of Cydia amplana, 449 nucleotides long. RefSeq lists it as uncharacterized. The transcript has 2 exons. The record is from RefSeq and is a predicted model, not a curated record. NCBI's taxonomy places the organism in Eukaryota, Metazoa, Arthropoda, Insecta, Lepidoptera, Tortricidae.